Molecule: small RNA, 274 nt
Filed under: Pan troglodytes (chimpanzee)
Lineage: Eukaryota; Metazoa; Chordata; Mammalia; Primates; Hominidae
Description: processed transcript
Source: RNAcentral
AGGAGACCGAAAACGCGGCCGAGCCCGGAGCCCGGAGCUGGAGCCAGAGCCUGGACCAGAACUUGGCCGCCGCCUGCACCGCCGCCGCCGCUGCCGCCCGCCGCCCCUUCCCCGCGCCGCAGCCGCCUCGCCGCCACCGCCGCGAGCUCGGCCGCCAAUGGUCCUCGGACUUUAGGUGUCCGGGUUGAAGACAGAACCAAUCAAACUGGUGUUGAACCAUGUUAUGGUGACAAAGAUAAACGGCGGCAUUGUUUUGCUACCUGGAAGAAUAUUU